Setaria italica (foxtail millet) is the source of this 3420-nucleotide long non-coding RNA. RefSeq lists it as uncharacterized. Lineage: Eukaryota; Viridiplantae; Streptophyta; Magnoliopsida; Poales; Poaceae. The transcript has 6 exons. The record is from RefSeq and is a predicted model, not a curated record.
UUUCAGCCAUCUUGGGCACCUCCUCUCAGGGCCUCGUCUCACCAUUAGACAUCUCGUUCCCAGUUAUAAUUUGCGAGGUUAGAUCAGGCUGCGCCAUGGCGUCCGCAGCUGCUGUCAAGAUCGCCGCCAUCUUCAUGCUGGUGCUGACCAUGGGCCACCUGAUGGCCGAAGCAUCACCGCAGCCUCGGCGUCUGCUUGCAGAAACGGAGCAUGCUGCGGUGUCCGGGAAUCCUGGCCUCCCAGGUGAUGCUAGCGUCAUGCAGGUCCUCGAACCCGCCCUAGUUUCUCCUCUUGCCUGCAAGCCAGAGUGCACAGUCCCUUGGCCUCCUUUUGUAUGUAUCUGCUAGAUCCUCUUCCUGGAUCAACGGAACUUCAGGGAAAUGGCUGUGACGUCGGCCAAAGAAUAAAUUGGCUGAACAUAAUAUACCCCGGGUAGUGUAGCUUGGGCUUUUGUUGAGCGUCUGGUACUAGUUGUAUUUUGUUUGCUCAUGUGGCUUUGUUUCUGGUUGCAUAUUGUCUUUCCUAUCGCUCUCUGUUGCAGCUAUGGUUUCUGCCAGGUGUGUGUCAAUGCGGUUUGUAAGCGGUGCUUGUUCCUACCUUCUGUUUUCAAUAAAAGAAGUCGGAGUCUCCCUCCGACUCUUGUUAUCAGUCAAGAAAAAUGAGUUGUAUCAUAUAUAUCUGCGUCUUUUUUCUAUGUAUCUCUGGGCUGCUUCAGCUGGAAGUUUAUCGUAAGUACGUGUAUCAGGAUGAUCGUUUGAAUUAAAACGAAAUGAUAAUGUGUGGCUGCUAGAAAUGGAAUGAGCAUCUUACUAUAUUACUAAUUGGAAGCCUCCACGUGAAGCCACCUAGAAAUUCUAGGUGGAUGUUUUAAAAAAAAGAAAACCAAUAGAAGCCUCCACCACCUAGGAAUCCUAGAUGGACGCUCUAAAAAGAGAGAAAUCCUAGAAAUUCUAAAAAAAGAAAAAAAAUAAUAACAAUAAGAUUUUUUUUGCAGUCAGUUACAUAUAUUUUUUUGAGACACCGUGCUGCUAGCUCUUGCCAUUGCGACCAAUAAAGCAAGCAGAUAGUAAGAUGACAUGCGUGUGGAUUGAUUAAAACAGAUUCUGUUAGUUGAUUCUAAAUCAUAUGUAUCCUAAAAGGAACUAGAUAUGUGCGUGCAUGGUCCCUAGCGAUGACAUGUAGACAUGUAUUGCAAUUUCUUUUUUAAAAAAUAUGUCUAUCUCUAAACCAACAAACAGAAAAAAUAUCAAUCUAAAUCUAAAUCUCUUCCGUUCUCACACGCCUAUUAAAGAGAACACAACCAAUCCCAUCCAUGUUCCAUAGAAUCCAUCUAAAAGCUUGCUCACUGCGGACGGCAAAUCAACGAAAGAUCAUCCUCUCCAAAUAGCUAGACGGCAUCACCAUCUUUAUCUCACCAACCUACAGAGCUACAACGAUGUUGUAGAGAUCAACUAGGUAACCUACCAAUCACCCUCCCCUUUUCUAUAUGCUCUAAAGAACACGUGGAGUAAUUAUAGGCCUAUAGGAGCCGACUAACCUAGAUUAAUAUGAAAAAUAUUCCAAUAUUAAAAGCAAGCAGAUAGUAAUACUUGCCUUUGAGCAUUUUUCAAGAACUGUUAUUCCUAUUGAAUGUUCAAGUGCUACGGCCAGGCAUCGAAUGUCUGCACGGAACCUUCCUAUUGAAUGGUUACUCUAGAGAUCAACGCACCGCGAGACAUUGUUUUUGGAAUUUGUUUGAUUCCCCUUCUACAAUUAGAUUAAUUUUUCAUGGUAUAUAUUACUACUAUUAAAUUAUUUGUUUAUUAUCUGGCCUGCUGCAUGUGUGGUAUAGAUGACUUGCUUCUCACCAUUGUUCUCAAACUGUUAUUCCUAUCCAAUCUUUCUAUCGAAAUAUAUUUUAAUUACUUGAUUGUUGUUUGUGUACCAUAACUUCUGUAUAGAAAAAUUCCAUGUUUGUAGAUAAUGUCUUUUGUAUAGAAAAAUAGCCCAAUUAGGUCCAUCACCAUCUUUUGCUUAUGUAGUUGAACAAGUUGCAAUGCUGAACAAAACUUUAAGUGAAAUUAGACUAGGAAAAGGAAUUGUGGAACAUUAAGGCAAGGGUAACCAGAUUGUGGAAUGCAACCUUACUCAGUAGUGGCGAACAAUUAAGUCUUGACAUGAUCCUUAUUGAUCAAGAGGUAUGAUAGAUGUUCACUUUGAUUGCAUUUUUGGUAUAAUUUUUGGCUUACAAAUUAUUAAUGAUGAUGCAAAAUUAGGGAACCAUGAUCCACGGUGUUAUCAAUAAGCCCUAUAUGGAAAAGUUCAAACCAUUGAUUGAAGAAGGCAAUGUGUACAUAAUUGCAAAUGUCAGAAUCACACCAGAACCACAGAAGUAUCGGCCAGUGGGAAAUGACAGGAUAGUCAACUUCUUACCCACAACUGCACUAAAAAAGGUCAAAGAUACUGAAGACAUUCCAAAGUAUAGUUUUAACUUCAUGAGCACGGAUAUGCUUUCAGCAAGAAUAAAUGUGGACAUGUACCUAUCAGAUGUUAUAGGUAUCUCAGCUCACAUUGGACCGAUAGAAGAAACAAGGACAAACUUCGGAUUUACCAAAAUCCGUGAUAUUGUGCUCCUGAUCGAUUAAAGUUAGAUUUUGGGGAGACAAAGUUGAGGAAGUUGAUGAUAAGACAAAAUCCCAUGUCAUUGCAAUAACAUCUACAACUGUGAGGAAAUUUGGCAGGUAUUCUCUAUCGUCAACCAAUGCAACAAAAGUUUAUGUAGAUCUACCUAUUCCUGAAACUAAGGAUGCGCAUGAUAGUUCAAUUGAUAAUAUUGUCAAAGAGAUUCAUUAUUGAGGACCAUCUAAAAGGGAUAUUGGAAGACCAAAUGCAGUACAAUAGAAGAACUUUAGAAGAAUUAAAUUUGAUAUUAUUUGAAACAUCAAAUCAGGAUGAGGUAUUUACGAUGAGGUAUUUACUAUUGAAGCAACAAUAAAUGAAAUUAAUGCAACAUAUGGUUGGUACUACAUCUCAUGUAGUAGAGGCGAUUGUAAGAAGCAACUUGAAAAGAAGUUUCAUCACUACUAUUGCAAUAAAUGUGACAAGAGAGCCGAACCUAAAGCAUGGUAAAUUAUUUAGUAGUUUACAAUCUUAUUAUAAUACUUCUAUUUCUAAUUGGAGAAUAAUAUUUGCAAAUUCAAAAUUAAGCUUCAAAUAAGUGAUCCAACAACAAGUGCAACUUCUGUACUUUUGACAAGGAAGCAGAAAUGAUAAUUAAUGAAUGAGCAGAUUCGAUGAUCACCUCCGUUGAUCAUGAUAAUAAGUAGCUACCAAAAUCAACUAUGCAAAAAGUAGGAACAGAUCUUAAUCGGCUAUGCAAAAAGUAGUAAAUUGAGCAAUAAGAUAUAAAAAAGCUGACAGUCCUAAUUCCAAGCUGUAUAA